RNAcentral lists this transfer RNA (22 nucleotides) under Impatiens gardneriana. RNAcentral's name for it is "partial tRNA-Leu". The record is from RNAcentral. Lineage: Eukaryota; Viridiplantae; Streptophyta; Magnoliopsida; Ericales; Balsaminaceae.
GGUUCAAAGUCCCUUUAUCCCC